Syzygium oleosum is the source of this 1067-nucleotide long non-coding RNA. RefSeq lists it as uncharacterized. The transcript has 2 exons. Lineage: Eukaryota; Viridiplantae; Streptophyta; Magnoliopsida; Myrtales; Myrtaceae. The record is from RefSeq and is a predicted model, not a curated record.
UUCGGCCCUAUUCUGAGGGCGACGUUUUGAAGCCGUUUGUGGCCUUUGCUGACUAAUUGACGACGCCCACAGCUGAACCAGGUCGUUUUGUAUCCAAUUGAAUUCUAGAUAUGAUUUCAGUUCAUUCCUACUUUGCCCUCGCUUUUUUUUCCGAGUUGCAUUGCCGUUGAUUGCGCUGUGGAGGAGGUAUCGAGUUUGCGAGGAAGGUGUUCGAUGAAAUGACGAAGCUGGACUCUGUUUCGAGAAGAACCUGUUCACGAUAGAGAUAAUCGAUGACUCGGCGGUGGUGACCCCAAGCUUUGGAUUGGUGAUCGAGCGAAAGCAAGUCUCUCGAAGAUUGAAGUCCAAAGAGGCUCGCUGAACGUGCUCGACAAUGCCAUGAUCGUGCCAGCGACGUCUUGCCCAGGGAUAUUUCAGGUGCACUAGUUGUCAAUCAUCGCCGGUGCUGCUCGUUUCCCAUGAAUUCAAGCUCCAGCAUGGUUCGUCAUUCUCGGUCAUGAUGACACAUACUUGAAGCACAUGGAGCAAGAAAUCUUCAAUCAAUUCAUGAAGUUGAGUUGUCAUGUCAUUCGAAUCCAUUGAAUCAGGAGCUCUCUAGAGCGUCGAAGUCCACAAAAGCAGGUCGCAGAGCUAGCACUCUGGAAUAGGCAGUUGAAGCGUUGAAAAGGGAAACAAAUUGAUGAGGAUGCCAAAAAAAAAAAAUUAAGUUAUAGGAUGGAGAGUGAUUUGGAGGAAAAAAUCAGAUCUUAUUCAGCAAAGAUUGUUAUGUCAAGAAGUGCUAAGGGACAAAGUGGCCAAAUUUGAAGCUGGUUUGUAUUCCAUGCUCUCUAACGCUCUUCCAUUUCAUGUUAUAGAAUGAGUUGAAGUUGGAAUAAUAUGAAGAGUCCAAGAUUUCUUUGAAACGUCUUUUCAAUGGGGUGAACACCGACUUGAAUGCUAUCAUGGUGGAUUGACGAAUAUCCACGAUGAAUGAAGAUGAGAUGGAAGGGGACGAUGUUCUCGCAGUUGAAUGGCAAACUGUUUGAUUGAUUUCUCUAGUAAAUUCGAGAAAUAAUGCUUUUCAUGAA